Long non-coding RNA from Sycon ciliatum, 900 nucleotides. RefSeq lists it as uncharacterized. NCBI's taxonomy places the organism in Eukaryota, Metazoa, Porifera, Calcarea, Leucosolenida, Sycettidae. The record is from RefSeq and is a predicted model, not a curated record. The transcript has 3 exons.
CAUUUCUUCGUUUCUUCUUUGCUGUUUUCAGUGAGUGUUUUGUUUUCUCUUUGUCCUUGAUCUCGACGAUGUUGUCGUGCUCAUUACCUUACUGAGACGUCUCUUGUGACUGUAGCCAGUGUCACGGAAGAUUUUAUUGGCGUGACAAGGUAGAUCGCCGAGAUCGAGCGUGAAAAACGCUCUGCAUUAGUAGCUCCUGUAGAAUGUUUUCUGGGAUGGCGUAUCCAUGGUCAACAAAACCAAGGUGCAAGACAGCAUGAGAGAUCGUGUAAACGAUGUGAACUCCAAAAGAUAAUCUGGCCAAAUUUAUUGUAACUAGAGAGUGCAAUCGUGCUUGGGGCCCAUCCCAAUGUCAUCACAUGGCUGUGGUGACUAGUGUAUAUCUGGGAGAAUUUUUCCUCGACUGAUACGGAGUGCAGGUGGAUCGAUUAUGAGAAAUGCGAACAUGUGAAGUUCAAGGCUAGAUGCACUUCAAAUUCGGCGUGCGAUCUCAGCGUCUGGGACCUGAUGAAGUCUUGGUUGGAUGAUUAUUCAAGCCUGACACUACUCGACACACCAAUGUACAUGUCAAUGUAUUUUUUUCAGAGCUGCACUAUUUACGUGUUGAUGCUUACUUCGGUGUUAGCGUGUUUCCCCCGGAUUGUUUCUAUCAUCAUGACCGUGUGUUAUUGGGCUGAGCGAGCACAUGCACAAGUGUGCAGCUAUAACCCUGUGUAUCUUUGGUUACACUUUGUUCUGCAAUGCAUGUACCUUGUAACGUUAUGUGCUUGCACUGAUUUGUCUGGCCUGCGUAUUUCAAGACUAUUCAGUGCAUUAGACCCAGGUUUGUUUGGUUGCCGGAUGAUCUCUUGUUGCGUCGCUCUGUAUUUGUAUUCAUCAAUUUUUGGGCUUGAUAAUUGA